CAGUAGCCGCGGUAAUACGGAGGGUGCAAGCGUUAAUCGGAAUUACUGGGCGUAAAGCGCACGCAGGCGGUCUGACAAGUCAGAUGUGAAAUCCCCGGGCUCAACCUGGGAAUGGCAGUGGAUACUGGCUCGCUAGAGUGUGUCAGAGGAUGGUGGAAUUCCCGGUGUAGCGGUGAAAUGCGUAGAGAUCGGGAGGAACAUCAGUGGCGAAGGCGGCCAUCUGGGACAACACUGACGCUGAGGCACGAAAGCGUGGGGAGCAAACAGGAUUAGAUACCCGAGUAGUCCCUGUCUCUUAACA
RNAcentral lists this ribosomal RNA (301 nucleotides) under uncultured bacterium. Its description in RNAcentral is "partial 16S ribosomal RNA". It matches the Rfam family "Bacterial small subunit ribosomal RNA", at positions 509 to 808 of the family's 1533-position model. The record is from RNAcentral.